This 465-nucleotide ribosomal RNA is filed under the name uncultured bacterium. RNAcentral describes it as "partial 16S ribosomal RNA". It matches the Rfam family "Bacterial small subunit ribosomal RNA", at positions 28 to 507 of the family's 1533-position model. The record is from RNAcentral.
GACGAACGCUGGCGGCGUGCUUAACACAUGCAAGUCGAACGGAAAGGCCCUGCUUGCAGGGUACUCGAUUGGCGAACGGGUGAGUAACACGUUGGUGAUCUGCCCUGCACUUCGGGAUAAGCUUUGGAAACUGGGUCUAAUACCGGAUAGGAACCAUCUUUAGUGUGGUGGUUGGAAAGUUUUUUCGGUGUAGGAUGAGCUCGCGGCCUAUCAGCUUGUUGGUGGGGUAAUGGCCUACCAAGGCGGCGACGGGUAGCCGGCCUGAGAGGGUGUACGGCCACAUUGGGACUGAGAUACGGCCCAGACUCCUACGGGAGGCAGCAGUGGGGAAUAUUGCACAAUGGGCGCAAGCCUGAUGCAGCGACGCCGCGUGGGGGAUGAAGGCCUUCGGGUUGUAAACUCAUUUCGCUAGGGACGAAGCUUUUUGUGACGGUACCUAGAUAAGAAGCACCGGCUAACUACGUG